CCUCGGGGGGCAGCAGUGGGGAAUAUUGGACAAUGGGCGAAAGCCUGAUCCAGCCAUGCCGCGUGUGUGAAGAAGGCCUUCGGGUUGUAAAGCACUUUCAGUGGGGAAGAAAGCCUUGGGGCUAAUACCCUCGAGGAAGGACAUCACCCACAGAAGAAGCACCGGCUAACUCCGUGCCAGCAGCCGCGGUAAUACGGAGGGUGCGAGCGUUAAUCGGAAUUACUGGGCGUAAAGCGCGCGUAGGCGGUCUGAUAAGCCGGUUGUGAAAGCCCCGGGCUCAACCUGGGAACGGCAUCCGGAACUGUCAGGCUAGAGUGCAGGAGAGGAAGGUAGAAGUCCCGGUGUAGCGGUGAAAUGCGUAGAGAUCGGGAGGAAUACCAGUGGCGAAGGCGGCCUUCUGGACUGACACUGACGCUGAGGUGCGAAAGCGUGGGUAGCAAACAGGAUUAGAUACCCCAGUAGUC
This 464-nucleotide ribosomal RNA is filed under the name Vreelandella stevensii. RNAcentral describes it as "partial 16S ribosomal RNA". It matches the Rfam family "Bacterial small subunit ribosomal RNA", at positions 339 to 795 of the family's 1533-position model. Lineage: Bacteria; Pseudomonadati; Pseudomonadota; Gammaproteobacteria; Oceanospirillales; Halomonadaceae. The record is from RNAcentral.